AGCGAACGCUGGCGGCAGGCCUAACACAUGCAAGUCGAACGAACUCUUCGGAGUUAGUGGCGGACGGGUGAGUAACACGUGGGAACGUGCCUUUAGGUUCGGAAUAACUCAGGGAAACUUGUGCUAAUACCGAAUGUGCCCUUCGGGGGAAAGAUUUAUCGCCUUUAGAGCGGCCCGCGUCUGAUUAGCUAGUUGGUGAGGUAAAGGCUCACCAAGGCGACGAUCAGUAGCUGGUCUGAGAGGAUGAUCAGCCACAUUUGGACUGAGACACGGCCCAAACUCCUACGGGAAGCAGCAGUGGGGAAUCUUGCGCAAUGGGCGAAAGCCUGACGCAGCCAUGCCGCGUGAAUGAUGAAGGUCUUAGGAUUGUAAAAUUCUUUCACCGGGGACGAUAAUGACGGUACCCGGAGAAGAAGCCCCGGCUAACUUCGUG
RNAcentral lists this ribosomal RNA (433 nucleotides) under uncultured bacterium. RNAcentral's name for it is "partial 16S ribosomal RNA". It matches the Rfam family "Bacterial small subunit ribosomal RNA", at positions 29 to 507 of the family's 1533-position model. The record is from RNAcentral.